RNAcentral lists this ribosomal RNA (1397 nucleotides) under Bacillus subtilis. Its description in RNAcentral is "bacterial SSU rRNA". It matches the Rfam family "Bacterial small subunit ribosomal RNA". Lineage: Bacteria; Bacillati; Bacillota; Bacilli; Caryophanales; Bacillaceae. The record is from RNAcentral.
CAGUCGGACAGCUUGCUCCCUGAUGUUAGCGGCGGACGGGUGAGUAACACGUGGGUAACCUGCCUGUAAGACUGGGAUAACUCCGGGAAACCGGGGCUAAUACCGGAUGUUUGAACCGCAUGGUUCAAACAUAAAAGGUGGCUUCGGCUACCACUUACAGAUGGACCCGCGGCGCAUUAGCUAGUUGGUGAGGUAACGGCUCACCAAGGCAACGAUGCGUAGCCGACCUGAGAGGGUGAUCGGCCACACUGGGACUGAGACACGGCCCAGACUCCUACGGGAGGCAGCAGUAGGGAAUCUUCCGCAAUGGACGAAAGUCUGACGGAGCAACGCCGCGUGAGUGAUGAAGGUUUUCGGAUCGUAAAGCUCUGUUGUUAGGGAAGAACAAGUACCGUUCGAAUAGGGCGGUACCUUGACGGUACCUAACCAGAAAGCCACGGCUAACUACGUGCCAGCAGCCGCGGUAAUACGUAGGUGGCAAGCGUUGUCCGGAAUUAUUGGGCGUAAAGGGCUCGCAGGCGGUUUCUUAAGUCUGAUGUGAAAGCCCCCGGCUCAACCGGGGAGGGUCAUUGGAAACUGGGGAACUUGAGUGCAGAAGAGGAGAGUGGAAUUUCCACGUGUAGCGGUGAAAUGCGUAGAGAUGUGGAGGAACACCAGUGGCGAAGGCGACUCUCUGGUCUGUAACUGACGCUGAGGAGCGAAAGCGUGGGGAGCGAACAGGAUUAGAUACCCUGGUAGUCCACGCCGUAAACGAUGAGUGCUAAGUGUUAGGGGGUUUCCGCCCCUUAGUGCUGCAGCUAACGCAUUAAGCACUCCGCCUGGGGAGUACGGUCGCAAGACUGAAACUCAAAGGAAUUGACGGGGGGCCCGCACAAGUGAUUGGAGCAUGUGGUUUAAUUCGAAGCAACGCGAAGAACCUUACCAGGUCUUGACAUCCUCUGACAAUCCUAGAGAUAGGACGUCCCCUUCGGGGGCAGAGUGACAGGUGGUGCAUGGUUGUCGUCAGCUCGUGUCGUGAGAUGUUGGGUUAAGUCCCGCAACGAGCGCAACCCUUGAUCUUAGUUGCCAGCAGCACUCUAAGGUGACUGCCGGACAAACCGGAGUGGGGAUGACGUCCAUCAUGCCCCUUAUGACCUGGGCUACACACUACAAUGGACAGAACAAAGGGCAGCGAAACCGCGAGGUUAAGCCAAUCCCACAAAUCUGUUCUCAGUUCGGAUCGCAGUCUGCAACUCGACUGCGUGAAGCUGGAAUCGCUAGUAAUCGCGGAUCAGCAUGCCGCGGUGAAUACGUUCCCGGGCCUUGUACACACCGCCCGUCACACCACGAGAGUUUGUAACACCCGAAGUCGGUGAGGUAACCUUUUAGGAGCCAGCCGCCGAAGGUGGGACAGAUGA